Molecule: long non-coding RNA, 594 nt
Organism: Magnolia sinica
Lineage: Eukaryota; Viridiplantae; Streptophyta; Magnoliopsida; Magnoliales; Magnoliaceae
Exons: 2
Source: RefSeq, a predicted model, not a curated record
UGAAGGCCCUUCAACCUCGUGAUGGGGAUUGUAUAUAUAAUGCUACUCUUUGAGAUUUCAAGAUUGGUUGUGUUCAUAUUUUCUCCACUGGAGAAGCCCUUUAGGAUGCUUGUGUCCGUAUACAUAAUCUUUGAAGUUGAUAAUAUGAAGACGCUUGCUACUAUUCAAUACUUAGAUUGCUCCUCUUGGCAAAUGCAGCUCUUCACUCACCAUUUAAAUUCAAAUAUUAAUUGUCUGAGUAUCAUCUCGAGAAUUAUUGACUCAAGAAGGAAGAAAACAAUUGAAAAUCUUAGUUAUGUUCCUUUAUCUACUCCCCUUAUCUGUCUUUUCCAAUCGCUUGAGAUGCUAAUUAAGCAUUCUCCAUGGACGAAAGUCCUUCCAGUUUGAGAAUUGCUUUUGUAGGCUUCUAAUGUUAUGCUUUUUCUUGGCUCGAGUGGGGGCUUUCUCUCACUAGGUCAACAUAUGGGCUUUUUUCUCUUUUCCUAGUCCAGGAUGUGGGCGUUUUAGUGUGUAUGUUUUUCUUUUCUCCUGACCUGUGAUGUGGGCUGCAUCUUUUGUCUUUUGUUCUCCUUUCUUGUAAUCUUUUUUACUUUG